Molecule: ribosomal RNA, 460 nt
Filed under: uncultured Capnocytophaga sp.
Lineage: Bacteria; Pseudomonadati; Bacteroidota; Flavobacteriia; Flavobacteriales; Flavobacteriaceae
Description: bacterial SSU rRNA
Rfam family: Bacterial small subunit ribosomal RNA
Source: RNAcentral
CCUACGGGAGGCAGCAGUGAGGAAUAUUGGACAAUGGUCGGAAGACUGAUCCAGCCAUGCCGCGUGCAGGAUGAAGGUCUUAUGGAUUGUAAACUGCUUUUGUAAGGGAAGAAUAAGGGCUACGCGUAGUUUGAUGACGGUACCUUACGAAUAAGCAUCGGCUAACUCCGUGCCAGCAGCCGCGGUAAUACGGAGGAUGCGAGCGUUAUCCGGAAUCAUUGGGUUUAAAGGGUCUGUAGGCGGGCUGGUAAGUCAGAGGUGAAAGCGCUCAGCUCAACUGAGCAACUGCCUUUGAAACUGUUGGUCUUGAAUGGUUGUGAAGUAGUUGGAAUGUGUAGUGUAGCGGUGAAAUGCUUAGAUAUUACACAGAACACCGAUAGCGAAGGCAUAUUACUAACAAUUAAUUGACGCUGAUGGACGAAAGCGUGGGGAGCGAACAGGAUUAGAUACCCUGGUAGUC